This 509-nucleotide ribosomal RNA is filed under the name uncultured Pseudomonadota bacterium. Its description in RNAcentral is "bacterial SSU rRNA". It matches the Rfam family "Bacterial small subunit ribosomal RNA", at positions 395 to 896 of the family's 1533-position model. The record is from RNAcentral. Lineage: Bacteria; Pseudomonadati; Pseudomonadota.
UACCGCGUGAGUGAAGAAGGCCUUCGGGUUGUAAAGCUCUUUCGGCAGGAAGAAAUCGUGCAGGCUAAUACCCUGUAUGGAUGACGGUACCUGAAGAAGAAGCACCGGCUAACUACGUGCCAGCAGCCGCGGUAAUACGUAGGGUGCGAGCGUUAAUCGGAAUUACUGGGCGUAAAGCGUGCGCAGGCGGUUUUGUAAGACAGGUGUGAAAUCCCCGGGCUUAACCUGGGAACUGCAUUUGUGACUGCAAGGCUAGAGUGCGGCAGAGGGGGGUAGAAUUCCACGUGUAGCAGUGAAAUGCGUAGAGAUGUGGAGGAAUACCGAUGGCGAAGGCAGCCCCCUGGGUCGACACUGACGCUCAUGCACGAAAGCGUGGGGAGCAAACAGGAUUAGAUACCCUGGUAGUCCACGCCCUAAACGAUGUCAACUAGGUGUUGGGGAAGGAGACUUCUUUAGUACCGCAGCUAACGCGCUAAGUUGACCGCCUGGGGAGUACGGUCGCAAGAUUA